CGAGGUGUAGCGCAGUUGGUAGCGCGCUUGCUUUGGGAGCAAGAUGCCGCAGGUUCGAGUCCUGUCACCUCGACCA
RNAcentral lists this transfer RNA (76 nucleotides) under Clostridiaceae bacterium. RNAcentral's name for it is "tRNA-Pro". It matches the Rfam family "tRNA". Rfam says of the family: Transfer RNA (tRNA) molecules are approximately 80 nucleotides in length. Lineage: Bacteria; Bacillati; Bacillota; Clostridia; Eubacteriales; Clostridiaceae. The record is from RNAcentral. RNAcentral also lists the same sequence under 3 other names.